Molecule: ribosomal RNA, 369 nt
Filed under: Aplosonyx sp. BMNH 846597
Lineage: Eukaryota; Metazoa; Arthropoda; Insecta; Coleoptera; Chrysomelidae
Description: eukaryotic LSU rRNA
Source: RNAcentral
AAAUUCAUUCGCGUUUCGAUCGUCGAAGUUAGACGUUCGCAAGACGGAUGACGUUUCGGCGUCGUUUGCUUCUUACGGUUAUCGAAUCGAUGUCGAACGCGUGCACUUUUCCUCUAGUAGGACGUCGCGAUCCGUUGGGUGUCUGUCUAAGGCUCGAGGUGGAGCCCGUGCGGUUAAUUUCAUCGUUAAUCGUGCGGACCCUCGACGUCCCGACAGACUCGCUCGACGGUAUACUAAUGGCGUGGGGCCGCUAUUUUACAAUUAGCGUUCGGCCCGUAGCAAGCGCGUUCUGUGUUUGACGGUCAUCGGACCUAGUGCCGAUCUCGUCCCGGAACGACUGUUGGUUGCGGUGCUCUCGAACAGACCUCC